GGGGGUUUAGCUCUGUUGGCUAGAGCGUUUGUCUGGCAGUCAAGAGGUCAGGGGUUCGAUUCCCCUAAUCUCCA
Molecule: transfer RNA, 74 nt
Filed under: Bacteroidales bacterium
Lineage: Bacteria; Pseudomonadati; Bacteroidota; Bacteroidia; Bacteroidales
Description: tRNA-Ala
Rfam family: tRNA
About the family: Transfer RNA (tRNA) molecules are approximately 80 nucleotides in length. Their secondary structure includes four short double-helical elements and three loops (D, anti-codon, and T loops).
Source: RNAcentral